UUAACUUCGUAGACAUUAAACAUUUUUAGAACAACUCUGGGAAACUUUCAGAAGUAAUUGAAAUUUAGGAGUUGAUUUCAUGUUCACUUAAAAUAAUUCCCCUGUUGGUAAUUAGACGUUGUUUAAAGUGAUAUACCGAGGGUAGUUUAAUCUUCAAUCCCCACAGGCGUUACAGCAGAUACAUGUGAAGGGAGGUGUGGAUACGAGACGUCAUGUGUACCGGGAAGGCACUGUAUAUGUCAGGAGGGAUGGUAUGGUCCACUUACACAACCAGGAGUCCCUGAGCUGUUUUGUCUGCGAAUGUGUGGGUCUGGUGGGCAUAAUUGUCUUGCCAACACCACAUGCACAGCGCUGCAUUUUGACAGGAGGGAAGUAAACGUGUGUGAUUGUUCUGCUGGCGCAAGACGAUCAUCUACAGGGCAAUGUUUAGAUAUUGACGAAUGUGUCGAAAAGUGGCGGAUUUGUGGUAACAACUCUAUAUGCGAAAAUACAGAAGGCCACUACACAUGCGCCUGUACAAAAGGAUAUAGUAAGAAAAACGGUGAGAAGU
Liolophura sinensis is the source of this 550-nucleotide long non-coding RNA. RefSeq lists it as uncharacterized. The record is from RefSeq and is a predicted model, not a curated record. NCBI's taxonomy places the organism in Eukaryota, Metazoa, Mollusca, Polyplacophora, Chitonida, Chitonidae. The transcript has 3 exons.